Eupeodes corollae is the source of this 341-nucleotide long non-coding RNA. RefSeq lists it as uncharacterized. The transcript has 3 exons. NCBI's taxonomy places the organism in Eukaryota, Metazoa, Arthropoda, Insecta, Diptera, Syrphidae. The record is from RefSeq and is a predicted model, not a curated record.
CUUGUGAUUUAUGUUUUCACACCUGGCACUGACACUGGCACUUUGACACCUGCCACCUUUUCAACCCACAUAAAGAGUAACAUUUCUUCAUCGUGUUCGCAUCCAUAUAUACGAUCACCGGUCAAGAUCACUUAUGACGGACCGGACGACCGAACGUCGACGGACGCGACGACUAAGGUUCGGUUCGGUUCGAUUACAUUGUUCAUCCGCAUUUCACAUUUUUUUGAAAAUUUAAAUUUCAAAAAAAAAUAAGUUAAAAAAAAAAUCUCAAGAAAUGUACACCGAAAAAUGCCUCCACCGAGUCCACAUCAAUCCAAUCCAUAUACAAACGAUUAUCAUUC